UGGGGAAUAUUGCGCAAUGGGGGAAACCCUGACGCAGCGACGCCGUGUGAGGGAAGAAGGCUUUCGGGUCGUAAACCUCUGUCAGGAAGGAAGAACCUCUCAAGGCUGAACAAGCCUUGGGACUGACGGUACUUCCAGAGGAAGCACCGGCUAACUCCGUGCCAGCAGCCGCGGUAAUACGGAGGGUGCAAGCGUUAAUCGGAAUCACUGGGCGUAAAGCGCGCGUAGGCCGUCUUUUAAGUCGGACGUGAAAGCCCUCGGCUCAACCGGGGAACUGCGUUCGAAACUGGGAGACUUGAGUCCUGGAGAGGGUGGCGGAAUUCCGGGUGUAGGAGUGAAAUCCGUAGAUAUCCGGAGGAACACCGGUGGCGAAGGCGGCCACCUGGACAGGUACUGACGCUG
RNAcentral lists this ribosomal RNA (402 nucleotides) under uncultured bacterium. Its description in RNAcentral is "bacterial SSU rRNA". It matches the Rfam family "Bacterial small subunit ribosomal RNA", at positions 355 to 748 of the family's 1533-position model. The record is from RNAcentral.